This 457-nucleotide ribosomal RNA is filed under the name Lepidurus arcticus. RNAcentral describes it as "partial 16S ribosomal RNA". It matches the Rfam family "Archaeal large subunit ribosomal RNA", at positions 1921 to 2669 of the family's 2987-position model. Lineage: Eukaryota; Metazoa; Arthropoda; Branchiopoda; Notostraca; Triopsidae. The record is from RNAcentral.
CUCCUUAUGAUAUAAUAUAAGGUAUAGCCUGCUCUAUGAAUUGUUUUAAAUGGCCGCGGUAUUUUGACCGUGCGAAGGUAGCAUAAUCAUUAGUCUUUUAAUUGAAGGCUGGUAUGAAUGGCUGGACGAGAAAAUUUCUGUCUCUAUCAUAAAAUUUGAAUUUUAUUUUUAAGUGAAAAAGCUUAAAUAAUUUUGAGGGACGAUAAGACCCUAUGGAUCUUUUGUGUUGGGGCGACUGAAAGAAAUAAAUAUCUCUUUUUAAUAAUAAAUAUAAUUUUAUAGAAUUAUAAUGACCCUUAAUUUUGGUUUAUAAGACUAAGUUACCCUAGGGAUAACAGCGUAAUUUUUUCAGAGAGUUCUUAUCGAUGAAAAAGUUUGCGACCUCGAUGUUGGAUUAAGAUAUCCUUAUGGCGCAGCUGUUAUAAAGGAAAGUCUGUUCGACUUUUAAAUUCUUACA